CCUGACAAUGCCACAGAGCAGAAUAUUCACUUAUUUGCUUUGUUUCAUUUUGGUUCCGGUACCAAUACCAACAUGUAUUCCGAUACUUUUACAGAUAAAAAAGAGAACUUAGAAAAAGGUCAUUACUGACUUAAUUUAAAAUCUUGGAACAACCACAUUAAAACACAAUUCUAAAAUUGUUGUGCAAAAAUAAAAGCCUAGUAUUUUGAACAGUCAGUGUGAAUAAAUGAAUGUUGUAUAUAUCCAGAUGUGUGUGCCAGAAACAUAGGGGAGUCAAGUAUCCAGUUCAAUUUCUCUGAGAACCUCCCCGUGUGCUUGUUGUUUUCUCGCGAAUUGACACUACCGUUGUCGUUUUGUGCUGAAUAAAUUCCAUGGAUUAUGUGCAAAAGAUCAACAAACUCACAUGGAUAACGCUGCUGUCUGAUUGUUGAAAAGGUUACGCUGGAGGUUUGCGAAAUCUGGACUGGUUUACACUGGUAGGCUCCCUGACUGACGCAGACUGAUACUGAAUAGUUUUAUGCUCAUUUGUCUUUAAGAUGAAGUAUUGCAAUUAAAUAUUUCACUCCCCUGGUUUGUCCACAAGUUGCAAGGUGGUAACUGUUAUAGCAGCCAUUCUCCUCUCCAUGCUCCACCCACACCCAACGUCUCUGCUCUCUGUUUUCCACCUGUUCCAUCCACGCUGUUCACUCACUUAAUAGCGGUUUCUUUUACUUGCUCCUCGUCCUCUCUGACGUCACACGGUAAAGUUGCCGCGCUAUUGUGGGCGCUGACGGUGGCAAGUACCGGUCCCAUCCAAAUGCAGUACAGUAUUGUUUUAAAUGCCUCAGUACUGUGUAACCAAAUUUCCACAGGUAUACCGUGCAACCAUAGUUUCAUUUAGUAUUUAAGAUUUUGUACUGUGGUGUUUGUAAUGUAAUUUGGUGCAGUUAAAUAACUGCGAAUGGUGAUUCACUCAACCCUAUGGGACCCUCAGAUGCAAUUUAGAUUAAAAUUCUUUUUGGAUAACUUUAGUUGUGUUCAUGCAUAUGACAUAAUAUAAAAGGUAAUGUAAAAUGUACAGCACAAUAUUGUACAGCAUCAACUUUUUAAAAUGUUUCCAAAUUCGGUCUCUCACAGUUGAAGUGUACCUAUGAUGAAAAUUACAGAUCUUUCAUCAUUUUAAGCGAGAGAACUUGCACAAUUUGUGGCUGACUAAAUACUUUUUCCCCCAAUGUGUAACAUGUUGCUCUCUCCAGGUUGGAGGAGAGUUCCUGCCCCAAGUGGAGGAGUUUAAGUAUCUUGGGGUCUUGUGAAGAGGGAGCUAAGCCAAAAGGCAAAGCUCUCAAUUUACCGGUCAAUCUACGUUCCUACCCUCACCUAUGGUCAUGAGCUUUGGGUCAUGACCGAAAGGGCAAGGUCACGCAUACAAGCGGCUGAAAUGAGCUUCCUCCGCAGGGUGGCUGGGCGCUCCCUUAGAGAUAAGGCGAGGAGCUCUGUCACCCGGUAGGAGCUUGAAGUAGAGUUGCUGCUCCUCCACAUCGAGAGGAGCCAGUUAUGGUGGCUCAGGCAUCUGGUCCGAUGCCUCCUGGACGCCUCCCUGGGGAGGUGUUCCGGGCAUGUCCCACCGGUAGGAGGCCCCGAGGAAGACCCAGGACUCGCUGGAGAGACUGCGUCUCUCGGCUGGCCUGGGAACGUCUUGGGGUCCCACCGGAAGAGCUGGAAGUGUCCAGAGAGAGGGAAGUCUGGAACUCUUUGCUAAGACUGCUGCACCCGCGACCCGGCCCCGGAUAAGCGGAUGAAAAUGGAUGGAUGGAUGGUGUAACAUGGUUCAAUAUGACAUGGGUCCAGCAACUCUUCAACUCUUCUGAGAAGGCUGUCCGGAAGGCUGUCAUCCAUGGCUUUAUGGACCUUGCUGUGUGCACCGUUGCAUAGUCAUGUUGGAUAAG
Long non-coding RNA from Betta splendens (Siamese fighting fish), 1925 nucleotides. RefSeq lists it as uncharacterized. NCBI's taxonomy places the organism in Eukaryota, Metazoa, Chordata, Actinopteri, Anabantiformes, Osphronemidae. The record is from RefSeq and is a predicted model, not a curated record. The transcript is spliced from 2 exons.